RNAcentral lists this long non-coding RNA (520 nucleotides) under Lonchura striata (white-rumped munia). RNAcentral describes it as "domestica (Bengalese finch) lncRNA (ENSLSDG00000014252.1)". Lineage: Eukaryota; Metazoa; Chordata; Aves; Passeriformes; Estrildidae. The record is from RNAcentral.
GUUUGAGCCCCCGGGGCGGUGCGUGGGCCUCUCCUGCACUCUUCUCCCGGUUUUCCCGGAUGGCACCUUUGUCGUCUCCCUCGGAACGCUGGCUUUCCCUGCCCUAGCACGGAAUGACAAAGGAAGCUUCCCCAGGCUCCUCCGUGCUGGAGCAAGGGAAUGACUUCAGAGCUGUCACGGCUGUCAUUAGCAAGGAUCGCCUGUACCUCAAACCCUGACAUGAGAAAGAUGGCACCAACAGGCAUGAGAAAUUCAAACAACCUUGAGCCAUUUUAUCCUACAAGGCAACUUUUCAAAAGAAGAUACUUGCAUGGUCUAAGUUAUUUCAGCACCUGAUCAUCACCCAAUAGUCCUUGAGCCAGGGCUUGCUGAUUUGUUACACCAGCAAACAAAAAGAUACUUGUAGACCUUUGGAAAAACAAAAACAAAAACAAAAACAAAAACAAAACAAAAACAAACAAACAAACAAACAAACAAACAAACAACAACAAAAAAAAAAACAAACAAAAAAAAAAACAGA